CAAUAGCGUAUAUUAAAGUUGUUGCAGUUAAAAAGCUCGUAGUUGAAUUUUUGCUUGCCGCCGAUGUCGGAACUUCCGUACGUUCGGCGGCGUGCAUCCUUGGGUGGAACCUGUGUGGCAUUAGGUUGUCGUGCAGGGGAUGCUCAUCGUUUACUGUGAAGAAAUUAGAGUGUUCAAAGCAGGCUUACGCCGUUGAAUAUAUUAGCAUGGAAUAAUAAGAUAGGACCUUGGUACUAUUUUGUUGGUUUGCGCACCGAGGUAAUGAUUAACAGGGACAGUUGGGGGUAUUCGUAUUCCAUUGUCAGAGGUGAAAUUCUUGGAUUUCUGGAAGACGAACUACUGCGAAAGCAUUUACCAAGGAUGUUUUCAUUAA
This 373-nucleotide ribosomal RNA is filed under the name uncultured eukaryote. RNAcentral describes it as "partial 18S ribosomal RNA". It matches the Rfam family "Eukaryotic small subunit ribosomal RNA", at positions 592 to 976 of the family's 1831-position model. The record is from RNAcentral.